RNAcentral lists this ribosomal RNA (393 nucleotides) under uncultured bacterium. RNAcentral's name for it is "partial 16S ribosomal RNA". It matches the Rfam family "Bacterial small subunit ribosomal RNA", at positions 523 to 918 of the family's 1533-position model. The record is from RNAcentral.
AUACGGAGGAUCCGAGCGUUAUCCGGAUUUAUUGGGUUUAAAGGGUGCGCAGGCGGGAGAUUAAGUCGGCGGUGAAAUUUUGCAGCUCAAAUGUAAAAGUGGCCUCGAAAAUGGGUUCCUUGAGUGGAGAUGAAGUAGGCGGUAUUUGUGGUGUAGAGGGGAAAUGCAUAGAUAUCACGAGGAACUCCGAUUGCGCAGGCAGCUUACUAAACUACUACUGACGCUCAGGCACGAAGGCGUGGGGAUCAAACAGGAUUAGAUACCCUGGUAGUCCACGCAGUAAACGAUGAUUACUAGCUGUUUGCGAUACAAUGUAAGCGGCUGAGCGAAAGCGUUAAGUAAUCCACCUGGGGAGUACGUUCGCAAGAAUGAAACUCAAAUGAAUUGACGGGG